Molecule: ribosomal RNA, 428 nt
Filed under: uncultured archaeon
Lineage: Archaea
Description: bacterial SSU rRNA
Rfam family: Archaeal small subunit ribosomal RNA
Source: RNAcentral
UACCAGCUCUCCGAGUGGUAGGGAUGAUUAUUGGGCUUAAAGCGUCCGUAGCCGGCUUAGCAAGUUUCCUGUUAAACCCAGCGACUCAAUCGUUGGAUCGCGGGAAAUACUACUAGGCUAGGAGGCGGGAGAGGUCAACGGUACUUCUGGGGUAGGGGUGAAAUCCUAUAAUCCCGGGAGGACCACCAGUGGCGAAGGCUGUUGACUAGAACGCGCUCGACGGUGAGGGACGAAAGCUGGGGUAGCAAACCGGAUUAGAUACCCGGGUAGUCCCAGCUGUAAACGAUGCGAGCUAGGUGUUGGGAUGGCUACGGGCCAUUUCAGUGCCGCAGGGAAGCCAUUAAGCUCGCCGCCUGGGGAGUACGGCCGCAAGGCUGAAACUUAAAGGAAUUGGCGGGGAGCACCACAAGGCGUGAAGCUUGCGGUUC